RNAcentral lists this long non-coding RNA (201 nucleotides) under Elaeis guineensis (African oil palm). Its description in RNAcentral is "long non-coding RNA (EGUI_LNC027591)". Lineage: Eukaryota; Viridiplantae; Streptophyta; Magnoliopsida; Arecales; Arecaceae. The record is from RNAcentral.
AGGUGACAAAUCAUAUGAUCCUACAAGGAUUAAACUCAAGGCUCAGUCAAGCCAAAGGGCUCUAGGCCAAGGAACUCUACAUCAUGCUUUAGGCUUAUCAGAUGACUCCUCGGACUCCUAUUAGGGAGACACCCUUCAACCUUACUUUCGACGUUGAGGCAGUCAUCCCCAUUGAGAUCGGAAUGCCAAUAACUAGGGUGG